This 379-nucleotide long non-coding RNA is filed under the name Volvox carteri. RNAcentral's name for it is "long non-coding RNA (VCAR_LNC001422)". Lineage: Eukaryota; Viridiplantae; Chlorophyta; Chlorophyceae; Chlamydomonadales; Volvocaceae. The record is from RNAcentral.
AUUGUACUCACUUGUCACACCUACAGCCGUCAUUGUACGUAACAUGCUCACAACUAUGUGUUCCUGCCUAAACAAUGAAUUGUUGUGAUCCUUUCAUAUGCAGAUAUAUGCCAUCGUUCGUGAAGAUGACACCAGCAGAGGAUUUAAUAAGAAGACAAUAGUGGCUGUAUUGUGGUACAGUUACAUGCGCUUAACAUUUGUGUGUCCAUUUUUUCUGACGCUUAGACUUUUGGACCCGUUUCCAUGGUAAGAGUUGCUGGCUGAGUUGCAUAGGUCAUGUUAGGAUUUGCUUGAAUUCGUACCUGUCAUUCAGGGAUAGUUCAAAUGUAUGAAGAAAAUAGUGAGUGUUGUGGUUCACAGGUCAUAUGCAACGGCGGUG